This is a long non-coding RNA of Hydra vulgaris (swiftwater hydra), 402 nucleotides long. RefSeq lists it as uncharacterized. The record is from RefSeq and is a predicted model, not a curated record. NCBI's taxonomy places the organism in Eukaryota, Metazoa, Cnidaria, Hydrozoa, Anthoathecata, Hydridae.
GGUGGUCUAUCAUAAGUUUGCUUUGUCUACUGGUAACAUCUGCUUUGAACCUAGUAAACGUCAAUUACUUAAAAUUUACUAAGUUGAUCAUUGCUGAUAGUAAAAAACGAAAUUAGUUUCUCGCAAUCAAAUAUAUCUUACAACGCUUUUUAAGCAUAUUGAGAACGAUUAGAGUGCCUACAUUUCAUAAAACACACAAGGUUUGGGCCAAAAUUAAGAGCAAAAGCUCCCCGCCCUUUCUUUUUAUUUAAUUAUAUAGUGCGGAUCCUUUAAGCAGUGGGAAAAUAAGGGAGCAAUGAGAAAAUAAUAUGCUAUAUAUAUAAUUUUUGUCGUUUGUUAAUCUACCAAAUGAUGAUGCAGAUGUAAUUGAAUUGUUUUUGUAAAUAUUUAUUUUUUUUUCUA